This 253-nucleotide ribosomal RNA is filed under the name uncultured bacterium. RNAcentral's name for it is "partial 16S ribosomal RNA". It matches the Rfam family "Bacterial small subunit ribosomal RNA", at positions 524 to 776 of the family's 1533-position model. The record is from RNAcentral.
UACGUAGGUGGCGAACGUUGUCCGGAUUUACUGGGCGUAAAGAGCGCGCAGGCGGUCGUCCAAGUCGCGUGUGAAAGCCCCCGGCUCAACUGGGGAGGGUCACGCGAUACUGAUCGACUCGAAGGCAGGAGAGGGUAGUGGAAUUCCCGGUGUAGUGGUGAAAUGCGUAGAUAUCGGGAGGAACACCAGUGGCGAAGGCGACUACCUGGCCUGUUCUUGACGCUGAGGCGCGAAAGCUAGGGGAGCAAACGGG